AAAUUGAAGAGUUUGAUCAUGGCUCAGAUUGAACGCUGGCGGCAGGCCUAACACAUGCAAGUCGAGCGGUAGCACAGAGAGCUUGCUCUCGGGUGACGAGCGGCGGACGGGUGAGUAAUGUCUGGGAAACUGCCUGAUGGAGGGGGAUAACUACUGGAAACGGUAGCUAAUACCGCAUAAUGUCGCAAGACCAAAGUGGGGGACCUUCGGGCCUCAUGCCAUCAGAUGUGCCCAGAUGGGAUUAGCUGGUAGGUGGGGUAACGGCUCACCUAGGCGACGAUCCCUAGCUGGUCUGAGAGGAUGACCAGCCACACUGGAACUGAGACACGGUCCAGACUCCUACGGGAGGCAGCAGUGGGGAAUAUUGCACAAUGGGCGCAAGCCUGAUGCAGCCAUGCCGCGUGUGUGAAGAAGGCCUUCGGGUUGUAAAGCACUUUCAGCGGGGAGGAAGGCGGUGAGGUUAAUAACCUCACCGAUUGACGUUACCCGCAGAAGAAGCACCGGCUAACUCCGUGCCAGCAGCCGCGGUAAUACGGAGGGUGCAAGCGUUAAUCGGAAUUACUGGGCGUAAAGCGCACGCAGGCGGUCUGUCAAGUCGGAUGUGAAAUCCCCGGGCUCAACCUGGGAACUGCAUUCGAAACUGGCAGGCUAGAGUCUUGUAGAGGGGGGUAGAAUUCCAGGUGUAGCGGUGAAAUGCGUAGAGAUCUGGAGGAAUACCGGUGGCGAAGGCGGCCCCCUGGACAAAGACUGACGCUCAGGUGCGAAAGCGUGGGGAGCAAACAGGAUUAGAUACCCUGGUAGUCCACGCUGUAAACGAUGUCGAUUUGGAGGUUGUGCCCUUGAGGCGUGGCUUCCGGAGCUAACGCGUUAAAUCGACCGCCUGGGGAGUACGGCCGCAAGGUUAAAACUCAAAUGAAUUGACGGGGGCCCGCACAAGCGGUGGAGCAUGUGGUUUAAUUCGAUGCAACGCGAAGAACCUUACCUGGUCUUGACAUCCACAGAACUUUCCAGAGAUGGAUUGGUGCCUUCGGGAACUGUGAGACAGGUGCUGCAUGGCUGUCGUCAGCUCGUGUUGUGAAAUGUUGGGUUAAGUCCCGCAACGAGCGCAACCCUUAUCCUUUGUUGCCAGCGGUUAGGCCGGGAACUCAAAGGAGACUGCCAGUGAUAAACUGGAGGAAGGUGGGGAUGACGUCAAGUCAUCAUGGCCCUUACGACCAGGGCUACACACGUGCUACAAUGGCAUAUACAAAGAGAAGCGACCUCGCGAGAGCAAGCGGACCUCAUAAAGUAUGUCGUAGUCCGGAUUGGAGUCUGCAACUCGACUCCAUGAAGUCGGAAUCGCUAGUAAUCGUAGAUCAGAAUGCUACGGUGAAUACGUUCCCGGGCCUUGUACACACCGCCCGUCACACCAUGGGAGUGGGUUGCAAAAGAAGUAGGUAGCUUAACCUUCGGGAGGGCGCUUACCACUUUGUGAUUCAUGACUGGGGUGAAGUCGUAACAAGGUAACCGUAGGGGAACCUGCGGUUGGAUCACCUCCUUACCUUAAAGAA
This 1550-nucleotide ribosomal RNA is filed under the name Klebsiella variicola. RNAcentral's name for it is "bacterial SSU rRNA". It matches the Rfam family "Bacterial small subunit ribosomal RNA". Lineage: Bacteria; Pseudomonadati; Pseudomonadota; Gammaproteobacteria; Enterobacterales; Enterobacteriaceae. The record is from RNAcentral.